CUUAUACUCCCUCCGUCCGGAAAUACUUGUCGGAGAAAUGGAUGUAUCUAGAUGUAUUGUAGUUCUAAAUACAUCUACUUUUAUUCAUUUCUCUGACAAGUAUUUCCGGACGGAGGGAGUAUGAU
Molecule: non-coding RNA, 125 nt
Organism: Triticum aestivum (bread wheat)
Lineage: Eukaryota; Viridiplantae; Streptophyta; Magnoliopsida; Poales; Poaceae
Source: Rfam